GCCAGUAUGGUGAAAUUGGUAUACACGCGUGCCUUAGGAGCACGUGCCGAGAGGCUUGCAGGUUCGAGUCCUGUUACUGGCA
RNAcentral lists this transfer RNA (82 nucleotides) under Caudoviricetes sp. RNAcentral describes it as "tRNA-Leu". It matches the Rfam family "tRNA". Rfam says of the family: Transfer RNA (tRNA) molecules are approximately 80 nucleotides in length. Their secondary structure includes four short double-helical elements and three loops (D, anti-codon, and T loops). Lineage: Duplodnaviria; Heunggongvirae; Uroviricota; Caudoviricetes. The record is from RNAcentral.